AUUGAACGCUGGCGGCAGGCCUAACACAUGCAAGUCGAGCGGUAGAGAGGUGCUUGCAUCUCUUGAGAGCGGCGGACGGGUGAGUAAUGCCUAGGAAUCUGCCCUGGUGGUGGGGGAUAACGUUCGGAACGGACGCUAAUACCGCAUACGUCCUACGGGAGAAAGCGGGGGAUCUUCGGACCUCGCGCCAUUAGAUGAGCCUAGGUCGGAUUAGGUAGUUGGUGAGGUAAAGGCUCACCAAGCCGACGAUCUGUAGCUGGUCUGAGAGGACGACCAGCCACACUGGGACUGAGACACGGCCCAGACUCCUACGGGAGGCAGCAGUGGGGAAUUUUUGGACAAUGGGCGCAAGCCUGAUCCAGCAAUGCCGCGUG
Molecule: ribosomal RNA, 374 nt
Filed under: uncultured bacterium
Lineage: Bacteria
Description: bacterial SSU rRNA
Rfam family: Bacterial small subunit ribosomal RNA
Source: RNAcentral